AUUCACUAGUGAUUCUUGGUCAUUUAGAGGAAGUAAAAGUCGUAACAAGGUUUCCGUAGGUGAACCUGCGGAAGGAUCAUUAACGAAUUUCGAGGUUGUGCUGGUUCUCACAAGUGCACGCCUCUUACAAUUCCAUUCACACCCACGUGCACUCUAAGAGACGUAUUUCCCCCGUUUACGUGCCGAAAGGCUUGGGACUUCGUCUGUUUAACACACUCUUCUGUAUCAGAAUGUAUGCGGCGGAGACGCCAAAACGAAAAUAUAACUUUCAACAACGGAUCUCUUGGUUCUCGCAUCGAUGAAGAACGCAGCGAAAUGCGAUAAGUAAUGUGAAUUGCAGAAUUCAGUGAAUCAUCGAAUCUUUGAACGCACCUUGCACUCCUUGGUAUUCCGAGGAGUAUGCCUGUUCGAGUGUCAUGAAACUCUCAAACCGCAUCUUCAUUGAUGUCGGGCUUGGAUUUGGACGUUGCUGGACAUGAGUUCGGCUCGUCUUGAACGCAUUAGCUGGCGAUUUCGACUUCAGUUAAACCGUGUGAUAAUACAUCAACGCGGGCAGCCGUAAGGCGCUGGGUCGUCUCCCGAAGGCUUCCAAUCGUCCUGUCCGGGACUGUCCUUACGGGCAUUUCAUUUCACAUCUGGCCUCGAAUCAGGUAGGACUACCCGCUGAACUUAAGCAUAUCAAUAAGCGGAGGAAAU
RNAcentral lists this ribosomal RNA (696 nucleotides) under uncultured fungus. Its description in RNAcentral is "eukaryotic LSU rRNA". The stretch from base 264 to 417 matches the Rfam family "5.8S ribosomal RNA". The record is from RNAcentral. Lineage: Eukaryota; Fungi.